ACGAACGCUGGCGGCGUGCCUAAUACAUGCAAGUCGAGCGGAGUUUGAAAGAAGCUUGCUUCUUUCAAACUUAGCGGCGGACGGGUGAGUAACACGUAGGCAACCUGCCUGUAAGAUCGGGAUAACUACCGGAAACGGUAGCUAAGACCGGAUAACUGGUUUCUCCGCAUGGAGGGAUCAUGAAACACGGAGCAAUCUGUGGCUUACAGAUGGGCCUGCGGCGCAUUAGCUAGUAGGUGAGGUAACGGCUCACCUAGGCGACGAUGCGUAGCCGACCUGAGAGGGUGAACGGCCACACUGGGACUGAGACACGGCCCAGACUCCUACGGGAGGCAGCAGUAGGGAAUCUUCCGCAAUGGACGCAAGUCUGACGGAGCAACGCCGCGUGAGUGAUGAAGGUUUUCGGAUCGUAAAGCUCUGUUGCCCUAGACGAACGAGUAAGAGAGUAACUGCUCUUACUGGACGGAUA
RNAcentral lists this ribosomal RNA (469 nucleotides) under Bacillaceae bacterium Ellin7007. RNAcentral describes it as "bacterial SSU rRNA". It matches the Rfam family "Bacterial small subunit ribosomal RNA", at positions 29 to 485 of the family's 1533-position model. Lineage: Bacteria; Bacillati; Bacillota; Bacilli; Caryophanales; Bacillaceae. The record is from RNAcentral.